AUAUUCCAGUACCUUGCUUACACGUUAUUAUCUAUAUGAAUUGCUUCUAGAUAGGGGAUGUAGAACUGUCGUUUUAUCUAACUGUUUGAGAUUCGGGGAGUGUCGUAAUGACGAGAACCGAUUCGAGGCAGGAAUGGCUCUGCGUUAGCAGAGUUUUCUCAACUCUAGGGGACCAUGAAAGAUUAUGUAGAAAGUGUGAGCAAUGUUCGUACCGAGAACCGACACAGGUGCGCUGGCUUAGAAAGCUAAGGUGCUACGGGUAUACCGUAUGGCGAGGGAAUUCGGCAAAUUAGUCCUGUAGCUUAGGUAUAAGGGAUACCUGCUGUUUUAAUGAGGAAUUGGGACAGCAGGUUGCAAUGACUAGGGGGUUUCGACUGUUUAAUAAAAACACAGGCGACUGCUAGUCCGAAAGGAUUUGUAUAGUCGCUGAAUCCUGGCCGGUGCAGGUACCUAAAACUUGGGUUCAACCGAGCUAAGGGCCUGUUAACGCCGGGAGUAACUCUGACUCUCUUAAGGUAGCCAAAUGCCUUGUCGGGUAAGUUCCGACGCGCAUGAAUGGAACAACGAGAGCCCCACUGUCCCCGCCUACAACCCGGUGAAGCCACAUAAGGUGGACGAACAGUCCAUCAUCUUCCAUCGGGGAGAGAAGACCCCGUGGAGUUUUACUGCAGCUUGUACUUGCAGUAUAGUACGUAUUACAUAGUGUAUCUGGUAGCCAUGCCUGAAUUUCUUUGGGAAUUCAGUGAAGCGUCAAUGUAACACCAGAUUAUUCUUGCAGUACUUCUUAUCUGAUGCAAAUCAGAAACAGGUGCAGGUAGGCAGUUCGGCUGGGGCGGCACCCCUUUGAAAAGAUAUCAAAGGGGCCCAAAGUUUAGUUCAAACGGGUCAGAAAUCCGUUGAAGAGGGCAAAGCCAAAAACUAGACUGACAGGAUUUCCAAACGCACGGAAUUCUGAGACGAAAGUCUGGCUUAGCGAUCCUUCGUGUGCCCACUAUUGGGGCCCGGAGGUGACAGAAAAAUUACCCCAGGGAUAACAGGCUCGUCGCGGGCGAGAGCUCCUAUCGACCCCGCGGUUUGGUACCUCGAUGUCGGCUUUUCCUAUCCUGGUCCUGCAGCAGGGGCCAAGGGUGAGGCUGCUCGCCUAUUAAAAGGGAACAUGAGCUGGGUUUAGACCGUCGUGAGACAGGUCGGUCUCUGCCUGAUGGAAGCGCGGCUGUCUGAGGGGAAGUUGCUCUCAGUACGAGAGGAACAGAGCAACGUGGCCACUGGUCUACCGGCUGUCUGAUAAGGCAGGCCGGGCAGCUAAGCCGUUUGGAUUAAGUGCUGAAAGCAUCUAAGCACGAAACCCAUCCCGAGACAAGACAGCCUUUCGUAAGAUGAAGGUUCGCAGAAGAAGACUGCGUUGAUAGGAUGGAUGUGUAGAUCACAAGCUUCGGCGAGUGAUGAGCAUGCCAUUACUAAUAGACCAACACAUCAGC
RNAcentral lists this ribosomal RNA (1478 nucleotides) under marine metagenome. RNAcentral describes it as "bacterial LSU rRNA". It matches the Rfam family "Archaeal large subunit ribosomal RNA", at positions 1523 to 2987 of the family's 2987-position model. The record is from RNAcentral.